This 649-nucleotide ribosomal RNA is filed under the name Euglena gracilis. RNAcentral describes it as "16S-like ribosomal RNA". Lineage: Eukaryota; Euglenozoa; Euglenophyceae; Euglenales; Euglenaceae. The record is from RNAcentral.
UAAUAAAAUAUAUAUUAUACAUAGGUAUAAAUGAUAAUAAAUAAAAAGGCAUUAUAUGAUAUAGUAUAAAUGCAUGGAAAUUUAAUAUUUUAUAUUAUAAUAUUAUAUAAAAUGGUGAUAAGGCGUUUAAUAAAUAAUAAACGUUAUAUUAUUAUAUUGAAAAAUAUAUAAUAACCAGAGAAGGGUAAAUAUAUAAAUAAAGAUAAUAUAACGAUAUUAUUAUAAUUAUAUCAAAUUAAAGAUAAAUGAUAAUAGGAAAUUAUCUAAAAGAUAAUAAGACGCAAUUAUUAUAUUAAUAAUAAUUCUAUAUAAUAGAACACCAGCAAAGUAAUCUUAGCUUUACAAUUAUUUAUAAUUGGCUAGAUAAUCAUAUAUAUAUAGGGAAUAAAUCUGGUACCAGCAUUCGCGGCCAAACCAAUUCUAUAGUCUUUUUUAAUAUAUUAGGUUUAAUAGUAUUAUUAUAAAUAGACAUAAUAAUAUAUGACGUAAUAUUAAUAUAUAAUAUAAUAGUAAAAUAUAAUAUAUAAUAUAUAGAGAUAUUACGAAUUAUAUUAUAAUAUAUAUACUAAAGUAAAGGGAGCGACAUAGGUUAGAUACUAUUUAGUUCUUUACUAUAAAUAAUUUAUUCUACUUUAAACAAUUUUAUAAA